UCACAUAUCCCUUCUGGCAUCCACAUUUUACGAGAGCUGCCAUGAUCUGCUUACUGAGUUUUUGUGGUUACCCCACCAGCUACUAACCCAUCCAUCAUUAUGAAAGGCUAAGUACACGAAUCAAGAAGAAGCAGGUUCUGUAGUUCAAACUGCCUCUGAUUCUGUCUUCCUCGAAAACCUUACUCAUCAGGAUUGUAAUACUACAGUCAGACAAAUGAAAUCAGGUGAACAUCAACAAUUGCUACUAAAACUAUCCAAGUGGUAAAAGGCCCAAGAUCCUUUGCUGAACUUUGGAUUUGGGUCUAACCACAUAGCUUGGCUUGGCUACCAGGACCUCAGCAGAUGUGUUACCAGCACAGAACCAAAUGUGCUUCUGUCAUUGGGAUUGUCCUCUUGUGCUCCUGCUGUUGCUCUAAGAAGAGCAGCUGUGCAAUGGCAUCCUUGUGGCCUGAUCCCCAGAAUGGGCACAUGGGAAGCCAACCAGAGCCCAGCCAGUAACAAGGGAACAAGCCAAUAUGAGUCUGAAAUUUGAA
This is a long non-coding RNA of Ochotona princeps (American pika), 533 nucleotides long. RefSeq lists it as uncharacterized. The transcript is spliced from 3 exons. Lineage: Eukaryota; Metazoa; Chordata; Mammalia; Lagomorpha; Ochotonidae. The record is from RefSeq and is a predicted model, not a curated record.